This 60-nucleotide microRNA precursor is filed under the name Drosophila melanogaster (fruit fly). RNAcentral describes it as "Dme-Mir-316_pre stem-loop". Lineage: Eukaryota; Metazoa; Arthropoda; Insecta; Diptera; Drosophilidae. The record is from RNAcentral.
UGUCUUUUUCCGCUUACUGGCGUUUCAAUUCCACAACGACAGGAAAGGGAAAAAGGCGUA